ACCAGUUGGUGUUCCAGACCCGGUCUCUUGACAUAAGUAAGUUAAUUGCUAACAGGAUGAUGAUACUGGUUUCACUUUUAAAUGUGGGUUUCAAAAGCAUAAGUUUUCAAAACUGUCAGAGAAACAGAACCCUGGGUAUGGAAAAACCUCCAAGAAGAAAUCCAAUUUGCAUUCCACUCAUUUCACAAGGAGGAAACUGAGGCCUAGAGAUUCCAGUCAGGGUCAGAGCAGAGCCAGGACAAGAUGCUGGGGUUUGAUCUUUGGUUGCUAUCUCCUUCCAUCAGCCUCACUGCUUUUUCUAUGCCUGCUUUUCCAUUAUGCUUUCUGGGGAGAGGAUUUUCCACAAGCUGGAUGUUUCAUGGCUCUAGCAGGGGGAUUUGGGGUCGCGUGUUAGGACAGUUUUUGAUAGGGCCACUUUGCCAACUGCAACAACACUCAUUCCCUGACAAUGGAAUUGCUGGCAUCUCCUAUCAGCUACUGAAGUCCUUAGAAGUCCUGGGAGUAAACAAAGCCUGACAACUCUGUUCCCUGUGCUGUGACCUGUUCACCUCCCUGCCACUUCCAACUUCACUUCUCCCCGAGUAGCUUCCAUGUUAUUUAAUUGAGCAGGACUUCCAGAAAUCAGGCAGUAUGUGCUGAAGAUGUCAAAAAAGAGUAUUUGCACAGGGGAUGCGUGUUGGUCUGAGCUCUUUAAACUCCAGGUUGAAGCUGGUGCAGAAGAGUCUCUCUAUGUUCCUCCAGUUGCCUUUCCUCUUGAAACUUCCUUUCAGUGAUUUCCUUACUUACUCUUAACCACUUCAUGUCAUAAAAUCACUAAGCUUCUCAUUCUGAUAAAUGUUAUUUCUUAAAACUCUCAGGUGCCUACUUACUCUGGAAUAUUCCUUUUAUCAGGCAGUUUUAAUAAAAGCAUGAGGAACCUUUUAAAACAAACACAUCAAACUCAACUUAAAGUUUACUGUGAAUCACAAUAGCAAUCCUACCUCAAAUUCAUUUGGUAAUGUCUAUUUGGACGCUAAUGUCCACAGCAGCAUUUUUCAUAGCUACAAAUGUCUGAAGAUAGAAAGUGGAAGCAACCCAAAUAAAUACUGAUGCCAUCAACCUGAUGCCUGGGUGAACUAAAUGUGGUAUAUCUAUACAACAGACUAUUACUUGGCAAUGUAAAUGAAGUAUUGACAGAUGCUAAAACAUGGAUGAAUCUCAAAAAGUUCUGCUUGGUGGAAAAAGUCAGAAAGACUACAUUGUAUGAUGCCUUUUCUGUACAAUGUUCAGAAAAGGCAGAUUUAGAGAGACAGAAAGUAGAUUAGUGACUGUCUAGGACUAGAGAUGGGAAUGAG
This 1334-nucleotide long non-coding RNA is filed under the name Marmota monax (woodchuck). Lineage: Eukaryota; Metazoa; Chordata; Mammalia; Rodentia; Sciuridae. The record is from RNAcentral.